UACGGAGGGUGCAAGCGUUAAUCGGAAUUACUGGGCGUAAAGCGCGCGUAGGCGGUUUUUUAAGUCGGACGUGAAAGCCCCGGGCUCAACCUGGGAACUGCAUCCGAUACUGGAAGACUAGAAUGCGGGAGAGGGAGGUAGAAUUCCAUGUGUAGCAGUGAAAUGCGUAGAUAUAUGGAGGAAUACCAGUGCGAAGGCGGCCUCCUGGCUCGACAUUGACGCUGAGGUGCGAAAGCGUGGGGAGCAAACGGG
This 252-nucleotide ribosomal RNA is filed under the name uncultured bacterium. Its description in RNAcentral is "partial 16S ribosomal RNA". It matches the Rfam family "Bacterial small subunit ribosomal RNA", at positions 524 to 776 of the family's 1533-position model. The record is from RNAcentral.